CUUCGUUUGUGGUAUAUAUAACUCUCGGCAAUGCUUCGUGGAUAGUCUCUAUGCCCCCUGUUCGUGGCAUGGAGAGUGCUUCAUUGAAUGACACCCUUCCCCCACCUCUUGCUUCGUCUGUCAUCUCAUGACAUUCUCGUUGCUUAGGCGGUGAACUUAGGGUGUCAUUAUAUUGUUGCAAAUGUGGCUUAUUCGAGAAACGGGCUUUGGUGUCAUGGCGCACCUUGCUCGAGCUGGUUAAUUCGAAGGUGAUAUCGUGCCUUAUCCCUCUGUGCGACUUUGGUUCUUUCCCCUACUACCAUCUCGAUGGUUGUUGUGGGUGAGACGCUAAUAGUUGUGUUGAGGCCGUGCUACCUGGUUGAUCCUGCCAGUAGUCAUAUGCUUGUCUCAAAGAUUAAGCCAUGCAUGUG
This 410-nucleotide unclassified non-coding RNA is filed under the name Dendrobium pugioniforme. Its description in RNAcentral is "partial contains external transcribed spacer and 18S ribosomal RNA". The stretch from base 352 to 410 matches the Rfam family "Eukaryotic small subunit ribosomal RNA", at positions 1 to 59 of the family's 1831-position model. The record is from RNAcentral. Lineage: Eukaryota; Viridiplantae; Streptophyta; Magnoliopsida; Asparagales; Orchidaceae.